RNAcentral lists this ribosomal RNA (253 nucleotides) under uncultured bacterium. RNAcentral's name for it is "partial 16S ribosomal RNA". It matches the Rfam family "Bacterial small subunit ribosomal RNA", at positions 524 to 776 of the family's 1533-position model. The record is from RNAcentral.
UACGUAGGCAGCGAGCGUUGUUCGGAAUUACUGGGCGUAAAGCGCGCGCAGGCGGUCCUUCAAGUCAGAGGUGAAAGCCCAGAGCUCAACUCUGGAAUGGCCUUUGAGACUAGAGGACUUGGGUACGGGAGAGGUGAGUGGAAUUCCGAGUGUAGAGGUGAAAUUCGUAGAUAUUCGGAAGAACACCAGUGGCGAAGGCGGCUCACUGGCCCGUUACCGACGCUCAGGCGCGACAGCGUGGGGAGCAAACAGG